AACUGAAGAGUUUGAUCAUGGCUCAGAUUGAACGCUGGCGGCAGGCUUAACACAUGCAAGUCGAGCGGGGGAAGGUAGCUUGCUACUGGACCUAGCGGCGGACGGGUGAGUAAUGCUUAGGAAUCUGCCUAUUAGUGGGGGACAACAUCUCGAAAGGGAUGCUAAUACCGCAUACGUCCUACGGGAGAAAGCAGGGGAUCUU
RNAcentral lists this ribosomal RNA (202 nucleotides) under Acinetobacter baumannii ABNIH20. RNAcentral's name for it is "partial 16S ribosomal RNA". It matches the Rfam family "Bacterial small subunit ribosomal RNA", at positions 1 to 214 of the family's 1533-position model. The record is from RNAcentral. Lineage: Bacteria; Pseudomonadati; Pseudomonadota; Gammaproteobacteria; Moraxellales; Moraxellaceae.